GAUGAAGAACGUAGCGAAAUGCGAUAAGUAAUGUGAAUUGCAGAAUUCAGUGAAUCAUCGAAUCUUUGAACGCACAUUGCGCCCGCCAGUAUUCUGGCGGGCAUGCCUGUUCGAGCGUCAUUUCAACCCUCAAGACCCCUUCGGGGGACUUGGUGUUGGGGACCGGCAUAGGGGCCUUGCGCCCCUCGCCGCCCCCGAAAUGAAUUGGCGGCCUCGUCGCGGCCUCCCCUGCGUAGUAGCACAACCUCGCAACGGGAACGUGACGGCGGCCACUGCCGUAAAACAACCCAAUUUUAUUAGAGUUGACCUCGAAUCAGGUAGGAAUACCCGCUGAACUUAAGCAUAUCAAUAACGGAGGA
RNAcentral lists this unclassified non-coding RNA (359 nucleotides) under soil metagenome. RNAcentral describes it as "partial contains 5.8S ribosomal RNA, internal transcribed spacer 2, and large subunit ribosomal RNA". The stretch from base 1 to 120 matches the Rfam family "5.8S ribosomal RNA", at positions 35 to 154 of the family's 154-position model. The record is from RNAcentral.